Molecule: long non-coding RNA, 278 nt
Filed under: Jatropha curcas
Lineage: Eukaryota; Viridiplantae; Streptophyta; Magnoliopsida; Malpighiales; Euphorbiaceae
Description: long non-coding RNA (JCUR_LNC003516)
Source: RNAcentral
UACCAAGCAUGCCCUCGUUUCCUACUAUUCCAAGUACCCUUCCUUCUAUUCCUUUCCUUUCUCCACCACCUGGAAACUAAUUUUCUUUUUAAAAUCAGACUCCAAUGCCACUGAACAAUACUCAUUAUUUGGAAACUAAAUCUUUGAUAUGUCAUAUGUCCCAUUGCCUUAUCUCUACGGAUUUUUUUCUUUUUUUCUUUUUGUGACACAUUGUGAGCUUGUCUUUCAUUUACUUUUUGUGUGUUAGCAUUUUUUUCCGGAUAUGUAUUUGUUUCUGU